Molecule: ribosomal RNA, 434 nt
Filed under: uncultured bacterium
Lineage: Bacteria
Description: partial 16S ribosomal RNA
Rfam family: Bacterial small subunit ribosomal RNA
Source: RNAcentral
AGCGAACGCUGGCGGCAGGCCUAACACAUGCAAGUCGAACGAACCUUUCGGGGUUAGUGGCGGACGGGUGAGGAACACGGGGGAACGUGCCUGUAGGUUCGGAAUAACUCAGGGUAACUUGUGCUAAUACCGAAUGUGCCCUUCGGGGGAAUGAGUUAUCGCCUUUAGAGCGGCCCGCGUCUGCUUAGCUGGUUGGUUGAGGUAAUGGCUCACCAAGGCGACGAUCAGUGGCUGGUCUGUGAGGAGGAUCCGCCACAUUGGGACUGCGACACGGCCCACUCUCCUACGGGAGGCAGCAGUGGGGAGUCUUGCGCAAGGGGCGAAAGCCUGACGCCGCCAUGCCGCGUGAAUGAUGAAGGUCUUAGGAUUGUAAAAUUCUUUCAGCGGGGACGAUAAUGACGGUACCCGGAGAAGAAGCCCCGGCUAACUUCGUG